GACGAACGCUGGCGGCGUGCUUAACACAUGCAAGUCGAACGGAAAGGCCCCUUUGGGGGUACUCGAGUGGCGAACGGGUGAGUAACACGUGAGUAACCUGCCCUUGACUUCGGGAUAACUUCAGGAAACUGGGGCUAAUACCGGAUAGGAAUCCUUGCUGCAUGGUGGGGGUUGGAAAGCUUCGGCGGUUUUGGAUGGACUCGCGGCCUAUCAGCUUGUUGGUGGGGUAGUGGCUUACCAAGGCUUUGACGGGUAGCCGGCCUGAGAGGGCGACCGGCCACAUUGGGCCUGGGGUACGGCCCAGACUCCUACGGGGGGCAGCAGUGGGGAAUAUUGCAACAUGGGCGGAAGCCUGAUGCAGCAACGCCGCGUGCGGGAUGACGGGCUUCGGGUUGUAAACCGGUUUCAGCAGGGGCGAAGCUUGUGGUGACGGUACCUGCAGAAGAAGCACCGGCUAACUACGUG
Molecule: ribosomal RNA, 465 nt
Filed under: uncultured bacterium
Lineage: Bacteria
Description: partial 16S ribosomal RNA
Rfam family: Bacterial small subunit ribosomal RNA
Source: RNAcentral